GUGUUGUUUCAGCAGCACACAUAACAAAAUUUUGAAAACUACAGAGAUUAGCAUGUGCAAGGAUGACAUACAAAUGUGUUAAAUGUUUCAUAUUUUA
This 97-nucleotide small nuclear RNA is filed under the name Piliocolobus tephrosceles (Ugandan red Colobus). The record is from RNAcentral. Lineage: Eukaryota; Metazoa; Chordata; Mammalia; Primates; Cercopithecidae.